AGGGAAUCUUCCGCAAUGGACGAAAGUCUGACGGAGCAACGCCGCGUGAGUGAAGAAGGCCUUCGGGUCGUAAAGCUCUGUUGCCGGGGAAGAACAAGUGCCGUUCGAACAGGGCGGUGCCUUGACGGUACCCGGCCAGAAAGCCACGGCUAACUACGUGCCAGCAGCCGCGGUAAUACGUAGGUGGCAAGCGUUGUCCGGAAUUAUUGGGCGUAAAGCGCGCGCAGGCAGCUCCUUAAGUCUGAUGUGAAAUCUUGCGGCUCAACCGCAAGCGGUCAUUGGAAACUGGGAGGCUUGAGUGCAGAAGAGGAGAGUGGAAUUCCACGUGUAGCGGUGAAAUGCGUAGAGAUGUGGAGGAACACCAGUGGCGAAGGCGGCUCUCUGGUCUGUAACUGACGCUGAGGCGCGAAAGCGUGGGAGCAAAC
This 425-nucleotide ribosomal RNA is filed under the name uncultured bacterium. RNAcentral's name for it is "bacterial SSU rRNA". It matches the Rfam family "Bacterial small subunit ribosomal RNA", at positions 356 to 773 of the family's 1533-position model. The record is from RNAcentral.